UACAGAGGGGGGCAAGCGUUGUUCGGAAUUACUGGGCGUAAAGGGCGCGUAGGCGGCCCGCUAAGUCGAACGUGAAAUCCCCUGGGCUCAACCCAGGAACUGCGUCCGAUACUGGCGGGCUUGAAUCCGGGAGAGGGAUGUGGAAUUCCAGGUGUAGCGGUGAAAUGCGUAGAUAUCUGGAGGAACACCGGUGGCGAAGGCGGCAUCCUGGACCGGUAUUGACGCUGAUGCGCGGAAAGCCAGGGGAGCAAACGGG
Molecule: ribosomal RNA, 256 nt
Filed under: uncultured bacterium
Lineage: Bacteria
Description: partial 16S ribosomal RNA
Rfam family: Bacterial small subunit ribosomal RNA
Source: RNAcentral